This 315-nucleotide long non-coding RNA is filed under the name Arachis ipaensis. Its description in RNAcentral is "long non-coding RNA (AIPA_LNC000362)". The record is from RNAcentral. Lineage: Eukaryota; Viridiplantae; Streptophyta; Magnoliopsida; Fabales; Fabaceae.
UGUGAUUAGGGCAAACCUGUAAUGACACAGAUAGCUACAUCAUAUAUGUGGAAUCGCAAGAGAGGGGGGAGUAAAGAGAAAAAGAGAGACAGUGGAAAAGGAUUAGUGUGUCAAAGUAAAAGCAAGAAAAAUGCCUUGUUAUUUGCUAACUAUUAUGUGCUUUAAGGGAAGGUUUAUCAUUGAGGAAAUUAUAUUGCAAGUCUUUUCUUUUUGUUCAACUUUGUUUACUUCUUGUUUUUAAUUAAAUAAAGUAAACACACAACAUCGAAUGCAAAUUGGUCAAUGUCUUAACAAUAAUAAAAUGUAAGUAAAGCC